GGAGUCGGCCGGACAGUCGCUGCCUUUUGGGUUUCAACGCCUGAUCGGCGGAGGAAAGUCCGGGCUCCACAGGGCAGGGUGCCAGGUAACGCCUGGGGGGCGUGAGCCCACGGAAAGUGCCACAGAAAACAAACCGCCGAUGGCCCUUCGGGGCACAGGUAAGGGUGAAAAGGUGCGGUAAGAGCGCACCGCGCGGCUGGCAACAGUUCGCGGCACGGUAAACCCCACCCGGAGCAAGACCAAAUAGGGGAGCAAUGGCGUGGCCCGCGCUGCUCCCGGGUAGGUUGCUAGAGGCAGGUGGUGACACCUGUCCCAGAGGAAUGGCUGUCCUCGACAGAACCCGGCUUACAGGCCGACUCCACCC
Molecule: RNase P RNA, 364 nt
Filed under: Alkalispirillum mobile
Lineage: Bacteria; Pseudomonadati; Pseudomonadota; Gammaproteobacteria; Chromatiales; Ectothiorhodospiraceae
Description: Bacterial RNase P class A
Rfam family: Bacterial RNase P class A
About the family: Ribonuclease P (RNase P) is a ubiquitous endoribonuclease, found in archaea, bacteria and eukarya as well as chloroplasts and mitochondria. Its best characterised activity is the generation of mature 5'-ends of tRNAs by cleaving the 5'-leader elements of precursor-tRNAs.
Source: RNAcentral